UGAGGACUGAGUGCAUGUUGUUCGGCUCCUGGGACCUGUGGCCAAGGCAGGUCCAGCUGCCAGUGAGAACCAGUCCCUCAGGGAGCAGAAACCUACUGGGCCUUCUUCUUUUCCUUUAGAGCCUCUGGUGGGGGGGCAACUGGGGGCACCAAGGGAAAGGUUGACAGGAUGGCAACGACCCUGCAGAGCUCUGGGAGUUGCCUCUUGGGUGCAGCAAGUUCUGCCCCUCCCUGAUAGCCCAGGGCCUGGGAGGGGCAGCAUUUCUUACUCUGGGUGGAGCUGGAACUUGCCACCUACCUACUUUCUUAGGAUGGGUCCCUUCCUAGAGCACGGGGAAGCGGGCUGGCCGCUCCCUGCCCAGACCUGCUCUAAGAACACUGGGUACGGGGAGACCUGGGGCAGAAACAGCCAGACAGGGUGAGGGGUCUGAUAUAGGGCCAGGAUCUGGAGACAAGUUUCUUCAGAUCACUGCCCCGGACCUUUGGCCUCAAAACAGAGCCACCCUAUCUGUAAAGGGCUUCAGGAUCUGGAGGUCUGGGUGAGCGUGUGAAUGUCUGAGAGAAGAACAAAGGGGUGGCCCCUCCCAACCUAAAGGGACACUGAACUCUCAGGCCCCAUAUUGUUUUUGUCCAACGUGACCCCCACUGUCCCCCUGCUCCUUGGAGCUCACUUCCAAUCAAUGUUUCUUUCUCAUCGAUGUCUCUCUCUCUUUCCCUUCCUCUGUCUCUAAAGUCAAUAAAAACAUAUUUUUAAAAAAAUA
Molecule: long non-coding RNA, 760 nt
Organism: Myotis lucifugus (little brown bat)
Lineage: Eukaryota; Metazoa; Chordata; Mammalia; Chiroptera; Vespertilionidae
Exons: 2
Source: RefSeq, a predicted model, not a curated record